UCGUCAAGUGCUUCAAUUGCCGCCGAUCCCAGGUGGCCUGCCCCCACCCCCAGUGUUGCUUUGACGACGGAGUGGCUCUUUAGGUACGACUUGGAGGACCAGCUCUCGGUCAUAUACACCGACGAGGAGGCCUACUGGCGCUUGCGCGGCGCCCAGAAAUGGUUUCUGAAAGGUGACGCGAACACGGCCUACUUCCAGACCAUAGCGAAUGGUCGGUGUAGACGCAAGACCAUUCCCCUCCUUUGGGAUGGGGAUUCUCUGCUGCAGUCCCCCCGGGACAUCAGGGCUCAUGUCGAUGGAUUCUAUAGGGCCCUUUUCUCUGCCCCCCCUCGGGGAGGCUUAUCUUUGGCCCACGACUGCUGGUCCGGCCGCCAGCUUGUCUCCGCUCAGGAGAACGCGGUCCUUACGGCCCCCUUCUACGAGGGCGAGGUAUGGGAUGCCAUUCACGGCAUGAAUCCCACCUCGGCCCCGGGCCCGGAUGGCCUCCCCGUGAAAUUCUUCCAGACUUUCUAGAAUGUGAUCAAACUAGAGAUCAUGGCCAUUUUCGACGAGUUCUAUGUUUGGUCCAUCGACCUCGGGCGCCUCAACUAUGGGAUCAUCUCGCUCAUCCCGAAGGUCCCGGGCGCCUCCGACAUCCGCCAGUUUCGUCCAAUCACGGUCAUCAACGUGAUUUUUUGGAUUCUGGCAAAAGGGUACGCCAAUAGGGUAACCCUCCUCGCGGACCAGAUUACCCACCCCAACCAGUCCGCCUUUGAAGAUUGA
This 762-nucleotide ribosomal RNA is filed under the name Triticum aestivum (bread wheat). Its description in RNAcentral is "partial small subunit ribosomal RNA". The record is from RNAcentral. Lineage: Eukaryota; Viridiplantae; Streptophyta; Magnoliopsida; Poales; Poaceae.